RNAcentral lists this long non-coding RNA (568 nucleotides) under Mustela putorius furo (domestic ferret). Its description in RNAcentral is "lncRNA (ENSMPUG00000029713.1)". Lineage: Eukaryota; Metazoa; Chordata; Mammalia; Carnivora; Mustelidae. The record is from RNAcentral.
GUUUUCAGUGUCUCAUGCCUUAUGGCUCCUGCUAACUUAUUUUGGGUCAUGUCUUCCCUAUUAGUGUCCAGUAACUCCAAGGACGGGGAUGAUGUCUUUUCAUCCCUUGCGAGCGCCUGUGACCCUCAGGCAGGUUCGUGCCUGAAGCCCUUGUUUACCUUCGCAACAGAGAUGGAGGGGAGACUGGAAAGUGGGAAUUCCUAAAGGAAACUGGUUUUCCUUCUGGUUUGCCCGACCAGACUCUAAUCAACCUGAUGGAUGCAGCCCCAGGCUCUAUGGACUCUCUCUGUGGACUCAUGGUGAUUUUAGAAAAUGAAAAGCAUACAUGUCAGAAUUUACCACAAGGACAAAGUGAUCUGUGCUUGAUAGUCACAUUAUUGAGAAUGUUUGGUUUUAUUGAGAAUCCAUUCACUAGUACAUCCCCAGAAGCAAAUAGCAAAAAGGAGGAAAGAAGAAAUUCCUGUUGCUGUACAACCAGUCCUACAAUCCUCUGGUAAGAACACUUCCGCCCCCAGGCUCAUUCCACUUCCUUCCACCACUUCCUGACUCACACCCCCAGGGACAUUGG